AAUUCCAGAAUGACCAAGAGCUCCGGGAGAGCUGCUGGGAGCCAUUAGCUCUGGCUGUGGAGAGCUGCUAACAAUAAGAACCAAGAGCUACUGGCUCUCGGAGUUCAGAGCUGUUAGCAGCACUGAGGGAGCUGCAUUUUGCUUUUCUACAAUUUCUAUCCAAAUUGAGCAAAAGAACCCUCAGCCAACUGGUAACAAUAGUAUACAAAUACUUAAACAAUCAUUGACACUAUUUCAUAUAUAUGAAAACAUAAUGUAAGCCAAGAAAUAGAAAUAAAAUCUAGUUACACACACGGAACCUUCAAAACUAUCCCAUUUUUGAAAAAUCAAAUAUAUACAAUAAAUUCCUCUGGUUGAUCAAAAAUUCUAGAACUUCUUGCUCAUUUAUGUACAAAUAACUGGAAAAAGUAAAACACUUUAUGAACACUUAUUUUAAGACUUGGUGGACACUGAAGAAGAAAAAGGAUCUCAUUUGAAUUCCUGAACGGUAAUGACAGAUUUGGAAUGAGGUGCAAACCGGCUUCUGAAGAUGAAUUUCAAAGUGUUACCUACUAAGUUUGUUUUUUUCCAUCUGUCCAAAUGAAUUUGAAAGAAAAUUCAGAUGGAUUCAUUAACCAUGUGAUACAGCAGCUGCAAAAUCUUUAGUCUACAAUUGACUUGUCUGCAGUGACGUUCCUUCCAGCUGAUUAAAUUCCAGGAACUUUUAAUGAGUUGCAGCUUUAUGUGUCUGAAUAAGCCAGCAAAGUUACAGACAGGUUGGAAAAGAAUUACAAGCACAAAAGGAUAAGAAGACACAAAAUGGUGUUGCUGCUUGACCACAGUAUUAUUUCUGCCAUUGUAGUGGUGUGUAGAUGAGUGCGUGGGCAACGGGUUUCCAUGUGCCCAAGACAGCAUGGAGCCUUGCACAGAAGAUGGGAAUGCUGAAUAGGCAGCACUUAUGUUGGUGUGUAUUGAAGCAUAGAAUUCCAAGGAGAGCAGUGCCACAUAGAAAAUGAAGGUGAACAUAUCCUUCAAGAAAAGUUAUACUUCAAAUGAAAAAAGCAGAUAUUCAUCAUAAUGCAAUACUUCAAAAUCUGAUUAAGGGUUGUGAAUGUUGGCCGGCUUUAUGGACCACCUCCACGCAACUGCCCAUAAUCUAUC
RNAcentral lists this long non-coding RNA (1140 nucleotides) under Marmota monax (woodchuck). Lineage: Eukaryota; Metazoa; Chordata; Mammalia; Rodentia; Sciuridae. The record is from RNAcentral.